Molecule: long non-coding RNA, 3987 nt
Organism: Corythoichthys intestinalis (scribbled pipefish)
Lineage: Eukaryota; Metazoa; Chordata; Actinopteri; Syngnathiformes; Syngnathidae
Exons: 4
Source: RefSeq, a predicted model, not a curated record
UAGGGACAAUGAAUUUACCCCUGACGAAACAUUCCUAGUUAGCAGACUCAGCUUAAAAAGUAGCAGAACAUCGCUCGUCAACCAAGAUAAAAUAUAUGUAUAAUUACGCUACGCAUCUACAAAUAAAGCUCAACAUAUACAUCAUAAAGCGCUUCUGAUAGAAUACAGACUGUUGAAAAUUCAAAAGGGACCGUUUUUUUCACCAACUUACCUCCGAAUAUACUUUACAGCCAUUCUUAUGAAUGCGGUCCGCUCUCGUCGAAGCCAUGUUUGGAACUACACGGAAGCAAAAUCGUAUAAUACAUCUCUAUGGGAGUGUCGUAACCCUCUUUCUAAGGCCCUGGUCGGGAGUGGUGUGAUUUAGGUCACAUGAGCCAAUCAGGUAGCCGCUUUCUCCUCACCAUAACAACCAGAUAUUAACAAUGGCGACUACAACAUUGGAGAGUGAAGAAGAGCGAAUGGAGAAAAAAGUUAAAAAGAAAGUGCAUAAAGUGGGAAAUAAACAAUGCUACAUGCAUCUUUUUUCUUUGAAGAAUGAGGACGUUUUGGACUUCACUUAUCAACGGUGGAACACGUAGAGAACCUGCUUAAAAAGUGGCUUUGUCUUCAUGGCACUAACAAGUAUCUUGCAGAAAUAUACCAGCAUUGCGUGGAUAUGGAUUUUGAAAAUAUUCCUGGCGACGCUGGAUUCCACACUACAUGCUACCGGCGUUUUACUGAUAAACAGAAAUUGUUGAAGGCGAGCCAUUCUGACGCCCCUGCGAGUACUAUCGAAGUUGCAGAAGCGUCUAAAAAAACUUCAUUCCCGUUCAGGUUUGCCCAUCGCUUCUGCUGGCCCUGUCCUUCCAGCCAUCUGCAUCAUUUGUAUUAAAAAAAAAAAAAAAAACAAACAAAAAAAAAGUUUCAAAGUAUGCUCGUUUGGGAUCGGAAGGCAAACGGCAGAGGGAUCAUCUCGCCAAAGCAGAGACAUUGUCGGCAGGCCGGUUGCUGCAGGCAGCAGAGAUGAAGACUCUUCAAUCCUUCUACAUAUCAAAGACAAAGACUGUGUUGCAAUGGAGGUGCGAUACCAUAAAUUCUGUUACCGAGAUUACACCAGGUUCCUAACCAAGUCAACAGCAACAGAAACUGCAACGAGGGAUGAAGAAAUACAACCCUAUGCUGAGAGCUACAAACUCUUGUGAACAAGUGAUCCGUCAAAGGAUUAUCGUUGACAAAGAUGUGCUCAGAAUGGACAAGCUAAGAAGGUUGUUCGUGAACACCGUGAAGAACCAUGAGGAUUUUGAUGCUUCAAACGACAGGUAGGUUUUGCUGAAAAGAAGAUUGAAGCGUGACUUCCCCCAGUUGGUCUUUCACACCCCUUUCCAGCGCAACAUGUCUGAAAUGUUUUUUUUUUUUUUUUUUUUGAGACAUUAUCAACAACAAACUUUUAGACAGGAUACCUCAGUCAUCGGGUACAUCAGCUACCGAAUCUACUGAGGUAAGCCAAGAAAGUGACACUGAACAAAUGGCUAGCACAACAUCUGGUUGGAAAACCAGCUCUUGGCCCCAGUGUUUGUUCUGCCCUCAUUGGCAUCCAUACAUUCACAGGUUGUGACUCAACCAGUGCCUUUCAUGGCAAGGGCAAAACAAAGAUAUUUUCUCUUGCUUGUCAGCAAGAAGAAUACCUGACUGCAUUUACAGAUCUGGGUAGUAGUUUUAACCUUGACCAGUCUACAUUUGAGGCAUUGAGCAAAUAUGUGUGCCAUCUGUAUGGCCAGUCAACUGCCAAAAAUGUCAACGAUGCAAGAUACAAGGCAUUCUGUACGGCAUCGUCAACUUUACCAGAACUGUCCAUUCCUCCAACAAGUGAUGCUCUCUUCCAACACAGCAAAAGGGCAAACUACCGAGCAGCAGUAAUGCGAAUGGAUGACUAGAAAUCCUGCCCCAGAUAGUGUGCUACAGGUAGUCCACUGUGGUUGCAAGAUAAUCAAGUGUGAGACUGAAAGAUGUUCAUGCUUGUCUACAAAAAUGUCUUGUACAGAUUUACAGUGGGGAGAACAAGUAUUUGAUACACUGCCAAUGGGUUGCCAAUGGGAAAACCCAUUGGCAGUGUAUCAAAUACUUGUUCUCCCCACUGUAUGCCACUGCCAGAACUGUGAAAAUAUUUCAAAGGAAACAGAAAGAGGCACAUGGGAUAAUGACACUGAUGAAUAAUCACCCACUAUGUAAAAUCUAUCCUAUGUUUUGAUUCAUUAUCAAGAUGGUACUCUCCAUUUAACACUUUUAAAACAAAAAAAAAUUCUGUAUUCCCUUUUCCCAAAACAUAGACCUUUGUUCAAUUUGACUGGCAAAAAAGAUGGAUGUUCCAAUGAAGUGCCAUGGUUUUAUUGUGAAUGCACAUUUGAUAUAUAUAUAUACAUAUAUACAUACAGUGCCUUGCAAAAGUAUUCGGCCUCCUUGAACCUUGCAACCUUUCGCCACAUUUCAGGCUUCAAACAGAAAGAUAAAAUUUUAAUUUUUUGUCAAGAAUCAACAACAAGUGGGACACAAUCGUGAAGUGGAACAAAAUUUAUUGGAUAAUUUAAACUUUUUUAACAAAUAAAAAACUGAAAAGUGGGGCGUGCAAUAUUAUUCGGCCCCCUUGCGUUAAUACUUUGUAGCGCCACCUUUUGCUCCAAUUACAGCUGCAAGUCGCUUGGGGUAUGUUUCUAUCAGUUUUGCACAUCGAGAGACUGACAUUCUUGCCCAUUCUUCCUUGCAAAACAGCUCGAGCUCAGUGAGGUUGGAUGGAGAGUGUUUGUGAACAGCAGUCUUCAGCUCUUUCCACAGAUUCUCCAUUGGAUUCAGGUCUGGACUUUGACUUGGCCAUUCUAACACCUGGAUACGUUUAUUUUUUAACCAUUCCAUUGUAGAUUUGGCUUUAUGUUUUGGAUCAUUGUCCUGUUGGAAGAUAAAUCUCCGUCCCAGUCUCAGGUCUUGUGCAGAUACCAACAGGUUUUCUUCCAGAAUGUUCCUGUAUUUGGCUGCAUCCAUCUUCCCGUCAAUUUUAACCAUCUUCCCUGUCCCUGCUGAAGAAAAGCAGGCCCAAAGCAUGAUGCUGCCAGUCUAGUGAUGGCAAAAUGAAGCCCCAUGAAGCAGUGAAGCCCUGCAGGGAAAUGCGUCACACACACCUAGGGGCUUCAAGAGGAUUGAUUACCUCGACUACGCCAUCAUGUGGACAGAAAAAUGUAUAACAUGCUUGGUGCAUGAAUCAUGCUCUGAUUACAAAGAAAAUACAUAUUUUAAGUUUAACAUGAAUUAUUGUGUGUUACUUUGUCUAUGUGCAUAUGAAACAAGUGAAAAUGUGAAAUGAGGCAAAAUGUGCUUACUCAUUUUUAUUUAGAAACAAUAUUUUUUCCAAAGUUUUUGGACUCAGGCGGUUUCUUUUUUUGCAGAGAAUUUCACCUGCUUUUGAAAAAACUCUUUCACAUGGCACUGAUGAAGCAGGGGUGCAUAGAUAGGAUACAGCAAGUUUGUAUAAAGUUGGAAGUGUAUAUUUCUGUGAUUCCCAGUACUGAAGGGGACUUUCAACUCGGGGGAUGUUUGGUGCUCCCAGAUACUUUUGCACCUCAACUGUUGCAUUUGCCGUGACAUUUGUGGUUCUUGCUUGAUGGACUGAGGCAUCAAAAUGAUGCCACAGUUUGCUUCCUAGGAAAGAAACAGAUAUUAGUAAUUAUUUAAUAUUAGAACAAUUAGGAAAUAUUAAAUACCUCCAACAGACUGGGAAGGUUCUGAUGAUGACGACGACGAUGAUAAUGAUGAUGAAGUAGAUGAGGCUGUGCGGCUCAUGAUAGCUGCGCAUUCCAUCGUGAGCCUUUUUUCUGCCUCUGCUGCUUUACUGGGACUGAAGAAGCCUACUUUUUUAAACCUUGGGUCAAGCAGAGUAGCCAGAAACAAUGCUCAUAGACUGGAGUUGGUUCAGCUUCUCUCUUAGUUGUCUUUGCAGAAACUCAACCAUGGAUGUGCUCU